This 1008-nucleotide long non-coding RNA is filed under the name Cercocebus atys (sooty mangabey). RNAcentral describes it as "lncRNA (ENSCATG00000045718.1)". The record is from RNAcentral. Lineage: Eukaryota; Metazoa; Chordata; Mammalia; Primates; Cercopithecidae.
AGAGACAGCAGUAACACCUUCUGGCUAUAGUCUAUUUUCAUCUUUCUCAUCCUAGUGUUAUCAAGAGAAAAACAGUCUUAGAUGCAACAUAAAAAUUUCAGAGACAGAAGAAAUCUUCCUUUGAGGGCAGGAUUGAAAUGCUAUUUUUCUUCCCUGGUACAAUGUUAAAGCUUUAAACUCUUGUCAAUGAUGUGAUGUUUCAUCUGCAAUGAUCUACACUAGAAAAAUAAAAAUGUAGUUACUGACAAAAAAGCAGGUAAGAAUUUUUUUUUAACUGAUUUAUGGAUAUCCUACAUUCAUAUAUAUAAUCUUGCUUGAAUCCAUGUAAUUUUCUGCAAGAGUAUUGAAAAAAUACUAAUUUUGUUCAGAUAUUUGACUAUAAACUCACUUUCUAUGUUUUAUCCCCUAAAGAAACAUUAACUGAACUAGUACAUAUCUUUAGUAAAUGAUAUGACCAGCAUUAAGAAAAAUCAAGAGGAAAAUGUAAAUAAUUAAAAUUACUAACAAAAGUACUAGCAGCUAUUAGUUUGGUGCAAAAGUAAAUGGUUUUUGCUAUUACUUUUAAUGACAAAAGCACAAUUACUUUAGCAUCAACUGCAUACAUUGUUAUUUUGAUUAGAGUGUGAUCUGCUUUAUGUGAUUCGUUUGCUAAAAUUCAACUCCAGAAAAUAUGAACAUUUGAUAUUUUUUAAAGUCUAACUAUAUUCCUCAGAAAGCUUUGAAUCUACCUAUCUAUUCAUUUAUAUAUUCAUUUAAAUAUAUUUGUACUUUCUUCUCAUUCUGUUUUUCUACCCUAAUUAAAUUACCAUACUUUUUAAACAGAAAAUAAUUGUUUCAUAAUAUAAGAUCACAUAGUUGUUUUCAAUAAGAAGUAUUGUAUUGUAAAUCCAACUUGUAAACUCAAUCAUUGUGGAAAUAUCAUUGUGGUACAUCCAAAUGGACAAUUAUUUAAAGACACUUCUAUAGUUUUUAAUAGAAUUCAGUCAUUAAUCUUUCUCUAAAUAUGAA